AACGUAGGGGGCAAGCGUUGUCCGGAUUUAUUGGGCGUAAAGAGCGUGUAGGCGGCCAAGCAGGUCAGCUGUGAAAACUCGAGGCUCAACCUCGAGACGUCGGUUGAAACCGCUUGGCUAGAGUCCGGAAGAGGAGAGUGGAAUUCCCGGUGUAGCGGUGAAAUGCGCAGAUAUCGGGAAGAACACCCGUGGCGAAGGCGGCUCUCUGGGACGGUACUGACGCUGAGACGCGAAAGCGUGGGGAGCGAACAGG
Molecule: ribosomal RNA, 253 nt
Filed under: uncultured bacterium
Lineage: Bacteria
Description: partial 16S ribosomal RNA
Rfam family: Bacterial small subunit ribosomal RNA
Source: RNAcentral